RNAcentral lists this long non-coding RNA (241 nucleotides) under Musa acuminata (dwarf banana). RNAcentral describes it as "long non-coding RNA (MACU_LNC000271)". Lineage: Eukaryota; Viridiplantae; Streptophyta; Magnoliopsida; Zingiberales; Musaceae. The record is from RNAcentral.
GUCGCGUUAAACUGUUAUUUCCGACUUCGAUGCGCGCAAUAAAAUAUAAAAAAGGAUAAGCUCGUGCUUCAGUUUCGAGAAAGAAACGGAUCCGAGGAUUCGCGAGCCCAAGAAACAUGUCGGAUCCCAAGGAAAGAAACGAACGAACAAACGAAGGGGAGAGAACAAGGUCCAAAAAGGGAAAACCUCGAGAACGAGAUCGACAUCGGAAGCCGUGAGUAGUAGGGAAGGAGGAGCUCAC